AAACCGAUGGCACAGUGGGUAGCACUUCAGCUGACUAUGCGGAGGUUCCGGGUUCAAUUCUCUGUUGGCUUG
Molecule: transfer RNA, 72 nt
Filed under: Alosa alosa (allis shad)
Lineage: Eukaryota; Metazoa; Chordata; Actinopteri; Clupeiformes; Clupeidae
Description: tRNA-OTHER
Source: RNAcentral